GUUUUCCUACGGGAGGCAGCAGUGGGGAAUAUUGCACAAUGGGGGGAACCCUGAUGCAGCGACGCCGCGUGGGCGAGGAAGUAUUUCGGUAUGUAAAGCCCUAUCGGCAGGGAAGAAGAAAUGACGGUACCUGAAUAAGAAGCACCGGCUAAAUACGUGCCAGCAGCCGCGGUAAUACGUAUGGUGCAAGCGUUAUCCGGAUUUACUGGGUGUAAAGGGAGCGUAGACGGCAGUGCAAGUCUGAAGUGAAAGGCAAGGGCUCAACCCUUGGACUGCUUUGGAAACUGUGCUGCUGGAGUGUCGGG
Molecule: ribosomal RNA, 305 nt
Filed under: uncultured bacterium
Lineage: Bacteria
Description: bacterial SSU rRNA
Rfam family: Bacterial small subunit ribosomal RNA
Source: RNAcentral